RNAcentral lists this ribosomal RNA (224 nucleotides) under uncultured bacterium. RNAcentral describes it as "partial 16S ribosomal RNA". It matches the Rfam family "Bacterial small subunit ribosomal RNA", at positions 99 to 334 of the family's 1533-position model. The record is from RNAcentral.
CGCACGGGUGAGUAGCGCGUGGGAACCUGCCCAACAGUGGGGGAUAACCGAUGGAAACGUCGGCUAAUACCGCAUGUGCCCGGGGCAACUCGGGGAAAGAUUUAUCGCUGUUGGAGGGGCCCGCGUCGGAUUAGCUAGUUGGUGGGGUAACGGCCUACCAAGGCUAUGAUCCGUAGCUGGUCUGAGAGGAUGAUCAGCCACACUGGGACUGAGACACGGCCCAG